This 467-nucleotide ribosomal RNA is filed under the name uncultured bacterium. Its description in RNAcentral is "partial 16S ribosomal RNA". It matches the Rfam family "Bacterial small subunit ribosomal RNA", at positions 28 to 507 of the family's 1533-position model. The record is from RNAcentral.
GACGAACGCUGGCGGCGUGCUUAACACAUGCAAGUCGAACGGAAAGGCCUCUUUCGUGGGGUACUCGAGUGGCGAACUGGUGAGUAACACGUUUGUAACCUGCCCUUUACUUUUGGUUAACUUCAUGAAACUGUGGCUAAUACCGGAUAGGAGCUCCUUCUUCAUUGUUUUGGUUGUUAAUUUUCGGCGGUUGGGGAUGGAUUCGCGGCUUAUCCGCUUGUUGGUUUGGUUGUGGAUUACCAAGGCUUUGUCGGGUAGACGGCCUGAGAGGGUGAAGGGACAAAGUGGGAAUGAGAAAAGGCCCAGAGUGCGACGGGAGGCAGAAGUGGGGAAUAUUGAACAAUGGGUGGAAGGCGGAAGCAGAAACGCCGUGUGCGGGAUGACGGCCUUCGGGUUGUAAAACGAUUGCGAUCAUGACGAAGCUUUGUGUGACGGUAGUGGGUAAAGAAGCACCGGCUAACUACGUG